This 1213-nucleotide long non-coding RNA is filed under the name Cyanistes caeruleus (blue tit). RNAcentral's name for it is "lncRNA (ENSCCEG00000011219.1)". Lineage: Eukaryota; Metazoa; Chordata; Aves; Passeriformes; Paridae. The record is from RNAcentral.
UAGGGAUCAAGCCUGUUGCCACAGCCCUGCCCUUCAGGAUGAAGAACACUUAUAUAAGUACUUGAUUUUUUUGUUUUGUGUGAAUAUUAAAAAGAUGAGUUUGUUGAAUAAUCUGAUGGUGUUAAAGGGCUGCUUUGGUUCUUCAGUAGGCAUUUAGAAUUUUUGUGGUAGGUACACAAAAAAAAUGCCCUGUGAAAAGAUCAGUAACUGAAUUUAAUACAAUAUCUUGUUAAGAAUGCAGGUAGAAUAAUUCUAAAGUUACAUAUGUGUAUUUUGAGCUGUGUCACCUGUGAUUCGUAGUUGCAAGAGGCCUGUGGAUAGGAAGCCUUCACCGAGAUACUUUCUGAACACCAAAAUGACUGAGGUCCCAGAUGAUGAUGACUCAAAAAUGAAUCUGCAGGAAGAAACCUUUUCACAUCUGGUCAGGAGGAAUUUGAUUCCCUUCUUUAAGGUCUGGGGAUAUCCAGUCUGGGCAAACCCUUCCCAGCAGCUGACUAUUUCUUUCCCCAUCUGGUCAGAUGAUCCCAUUAAACAUCAGCUCCUGAGCAGGUUUUGACUCAUGGAAAUGUGAUUGUCAUAAAGCCAGUGCUCUGCAGUACUUUUAAAAAGUACUUUUGAAUGGUGUAGUGUUCUAAUGAAUCUGAGAAUCGCCUCUGUGUGUACAUGUGAUAGAAGAGUUCGUUCUUGGCUUCCUCCCAGAUCUGCCUUUUUCUGUGUGGGUCCCACUACUUUCUUUCCCAACAGGAGUAAUUUUAACCACAGAAGGGGAAACACUGGCUCUCUACCAAUGAAGCCAAGCAACCCCUUCCCAUCUUUUACUUUCUCUGUUUCCUUUUCUACAGAAUGUUCUCUGUUCCAGACUUACUCUGAUUUCAGUGAACGCUGCAGAAUUCUUACCUUGCUGUAAGGCCAUUGAUGCACCACAAGGGACUGCAGUGACAGAGUCAGAGGCUCUCUGCAUCUCCUUCUGAUCACAUGAAUGUAGAUCACAGUGACACUGAGAGAGUGCAGGUGACUUGCUGUGAGCAGGAGAUGGUGCUGAAGUGCUGGACCUCAUGAUGAGCUGAGGCAUUUCCAAGAAACCAACAGAUUGUCCAAAAGUCUGUCAAGAUAAAUGAUUUUUAAUUAAGCAGCAGGACAGGGAAAAAGCAUGCUCAAGUAUGCAAACUGAUUCCAUAUAAAAUAAAAAAGUGUUUUUAUUUCCGUGUAACCA